UUCGUGUCAACAGGGGGAGGAACCGAGACUGGAGGAGGACAAGGAGAAAGAUCUGCUCAGAAAACCUCAAAAUACUAACAAAUGCGUGAAAAAAGAAAAACAUAUUUCUGCCUUUUUCCAAAUAAAAAUCAACCAAAUCUGAAAACAAUCCCACCAAACUUCCUGACAACAUCUGGUUCUUCAACUUUAUUAAUGAUCAGUUCUUCCUUCAGACUGGGAAUAUUUCCAACUCAGAAUGUGACCAGAUUGACAAAAACAUCAAUCAAAUUACCUCAAACACAGAAACUUUUCCACAACGACUCAGAACUUCGAAUGGUCAACAAUGGCUCAUUUUGUCUUUAUGACUCAAAAGUAAAAUACUAUAAAAUUGACUAAAAAAUGUCAAGAUUAUUCAAAAUACCUCAAAGAUAUCCAUAUUGCCUCUAAACCUUUCUGAAACCAUAUAUUUAGCUUUAAAUGACUCAAAUAUUGUCCAAAAUUAUGAAAAAUAAAGGUCUAAAACUCAUCCAGAAUGUCUCAAAGCUUUUCCAAAACUAUACGGGUUAGAUGGUAAAGUGAGAAUAUUCCAUUAAAAAAAAUCAAAAGAACCUUCUCAGACCAUCUGGUUCUUCAUCUCCAGUUACUAUUAAUGAUCAGAGUUCUACCUUCAAACUGUGAAUGUUUCCAGUUCCAGGUCCCUGAAGUACAUAGAGGUCCCUGAAGUCCAGAUUUAUCACUUUUUGAUGGACUUUGUGGUUCUGGGAAAACUGCACCAGAUCAGUUUUACAGCCAUCCAGGUGUCACAGUCUAAAGACUAAGAGACAACACACCUAGAAACUUUAGUAGAACACUUCAAAAUUUGAAAACUUGUCAAAAAUGUCUCAUAAAAUGGUCCAUAAAAUUAAGACUCAAGAUAUCAGAUUCUAAUCAGUGAUCUUUCCAGUUGUCAGUAGAUCUACUCUAGAACUUUCUCCAGUUGUCAGUAGGUCUACUCUAGAACUUUCUACAGUUGUUGGUAGGUCUACUCUAGAACUUUCUCCAGGAGACGUUCUCUGUUCCUGCUUCCAGUCUUUAACCCAUAAGAACCCAGACCCUUUUUCCUUAAAUGACUUAAUGAGUUAAGAUCAGACAUAAAGCUUUACAAGGAACAGACUGGGGCACUCAAAGUGCUUGUUACACUGGUGUCACUGUGGGUUCUUAUGGAUUAAGUUUAGUCUCAGAACAUUCCAGGUCCUUGAAGUCUUUAGAGGUGGAUCCAGAUUUAUCACUUUUUAAUGGAUAUUUUGGUUCUGAUAAAAACUGACACCAGAUCAGUUUUACAUCCAUCCAUGAGUCACAGUCUAAAGACUAAAUCUCAUUGUAUCAAAAUCAGAAAAAAAAUGUCUAAAAUAAAUCAAAAAUGCUCAGAUUACCUCAAACUGAUCCUAACUACCUGGAUUUAUUUCCAGAACAACUCAAAAUGUGACCACAUUGACAAAAACAUCGACCAAGUAACCUUAGACAGCGGCACUAAACACCUAGGAACUUUUCCAGAACAAUUCAGAACUUGAAAACUUGUCAAAAAUGACUCAUAAAAUGGACCAUAAAGACUCAGUUUAUCAAUAUCACUCAAAAUGAAAAGUCAAAAUUGUGUCAAAAUACCUCAAACGUAUCCAGAUUGCCUCCAAAACCGCACAUUUUGCUUUAAAUGACUCAAACAUUUUCCAGAAUCACGAAAAAACAAAGAUAUACAAAAUGUCUAAAAAUUCAUCCAAAAUACCUCAAAGCUUUUCCAAAAUGACGCAGUUUAAAUUAAAAAGUGAGGAUGUCCAUAAAAAUACAACCAGAACCUCCAUAGAACCAACUGGUUCUUCAUCUCCAGUAACUUUAUUCAUGAUCAGAGUUCUACCUUCAGACUGUGACUAUUUCCAGAUUUCCAGGUCCUUGAAGUCCAUAGAGGAGAACAUCCUCUGUAGAAAGUUCUAGACUAGACCUACAGACAACUGGACAGUUGUCAGUAGGUCUACUCUAGAACUUUCUCCAGUUGUCGUUAGGUCUACUCUAGAACUUUCUACAGGAGACGUUCUCCUUUCCUGCUUCCAGUCUUUAAAUUUAGUCUCAGAACAUUCCAGGUCCUUGAAGUCCAUAGAGGUGGUUCCAGAUUUAUCACUUCUAAAUGAACUUUUUCCAUCAUUUCUGAGCCUCAGAACUUCAUCAAUCCAGCAGAUAGAACCAUGAUAUUUAGGAGGAGAAACACAUUGGCAUUCUGGUGAAAACUGACACCAGAUCAGUUUAAAUCCACUUCAGACCUUUCUUCGUCAUGAUUUUUGUGCAUUUUUAAGUCAUUCAAGGCAGAUUCUGAAUAAUGUCAGGUAGAUGUUUGUCUUUUAGUUCUAAUUUUGAGUCAAAGUUGUGGUUAUUGUUUUUUUCAGGUUUUAAGUAACUCUAGCAAUGUUUCAAGUAUUUUUUUUAGGGUUUUAGGUAUUUUGGGAUAAUCUUAGUUAUUUCUGUUCAUGUUUAAUGCAAUCAGUUGUAAGUUUUGUUCAUUUUUGUGAAGUUUUGAACACAGUUUUUAUCAUUUUGAACAAGUCUGGUGCAUUUGCAACAGUUUUGGAUCAAUUUUGGACAAAUUAUAAGACAGUUUGGACAAGUUUAAAACAUUUUUAGUCAUUUUGGACAAACUGAAACAGGAAACAUGUCCACAGUACCAAUGUUUGCAACCAGAUCAGUUUCACAUCCACUAAAAGGCGUCACAAUCUAAACCCCAAAUCUGGUAUUUGUUCAGUUUUUCUAUAGCCAACUUUGAACAUCACUAUUAUGGGAUGUAUCAUAGUUUCAACACUAAAACUGCACCAGUUCAAGUGCUGGUACCAUGGAUGUCUUUUCUGUUGUCUUUGUCCUGAAACUGGAAGAAAAAUGUCCAAAAGAUUCCAAGAUGAACAAAAACCUGUCCAAAAUUAUUUAAACUUUAUCUAAAAUGACUUAAAAUUUGACUAAAAUGAUAAAAACUUGACAUAAAAAAACUGAAGAAUUCACCAAAAUCUGUUUAAAAUGUGUCCACAAUCACUUGAAAAUCCGGUGUGAAUGAGUGUUUAUGGACAUAUCCACACAUUCUACUAAAAAAACAGUGAACUCCUACUGAUGUUAGAGCCUCAAAAGUUGGUGAAAUGUCGACCAAAGACUGUAUUUUAGUAGAAAUAUGGAUCCAUCCAUAUAUAAAUACACUGACAGGAACUUUCUAGAGACUCAACACCAGCCUGGAUUUCAGAUUUUGCAAUUUUUCUCCAUUUUCAGGAGCCAGUAAUUAUCUUUAUUGUCAUUUUGACACAUUUGACUCAUUUUGAACAGAUUUCAAGUCAUUUUGGACAAGAUCGAUUCAAUUCUGACAAUGUUUUAGCUUGUUUGGACUUUUUUUAGUCAUUUUGGAUGAUUUUCAGUUAUUUUAGACAGGUUUCAAGUCAUUCUGGACACAGUUCAUCUCAUUGUGGACACAGUUUGAGUCAUCUUAAACCAUUUUCAGUCAUCUUAGGUUUCAUCCAAAAACAUCGAAAAAAUAGAACCUCAUCUUGUCAAACUUUCCAAACAUCAUAUUCUACUGAUGUUAGAGCCUCAAAAGUUGGUGAAAUGUCUAAAUAUAGUAGAAAUAUGAAUCCAUCCAUAUAUAUACACUUACAGGAGCUUUAUGGAGACACAACAGCAACAUCAAAUCAAAAUGUUGCACUUUUUUCAGUUUUCAAAGCCCAUUAAUUGAAAAUAUCUCCUCUGCUGGAAACUAUUCUGUCUGAGUCCUCGCCACAUUUCAUAGCUGUGAGAGUUUUAUGUCCGGACCAUUAAAAUUGUUUCUCAGAAAAUGUUGGUUUAUUUUAGGACGACUACACCAACUUCUCAGAUCUGAAAACAAAUGAAAUUCUCAAAAUUCAGUCAAAAUCCUUCAUUCUUGAGCACUAAAUGGCAAAUCAAUAAAGACAGAGAGUGUCUGGUGUUUCAUUUGACAGAAAUUAGAGCAUUUUCUGUCAUUUACAAAUAAUUUGAUGAGCAAAAAUGUCUUCUGCUUGAGAUAAUUAAAUCCCAGGUAACAAAACUUGUUAAAACAAUCAAUCAGUCAUGUUUUUACGAUCGGUUACAUCUUCAGUAAAAUGCUUCAAAUGACUUUGUUGUAAAAAGCUACAAACAGACUUGCCUUGUCUAAUAUAAAAAGAUUUUUUAUUAAAAUCAGAAAACAGAUCCAGACCAGCUUUAUGCAAUCCACAACAUCAGAUUUUAUUUUGUUGAUUAGAAUUUUCUGUAAUUCAGACAUUUACUGAACUCCAAGCUGUUUAUGAGCAUUUUGUUCUGAGUUUUCUCUGCUAUCUAAAGUCCUGCAGCUCUAUGGAAACAGAACAACAUGAAGAAGGAGAAAUGUCUUCUGUCAGUAAAACACAGUUAGAAUGACAAAGAGAUAAAAAAUAGCACAGAAAGAUGUAAAAGUGACACUGAAAUACACCAAAAUGACACUACAACAUGCAAAAAUGACAUUAAAAGAUACAAAAAAUGACAUUAAAAAAGUGAAAAACUCGCUAAAAGAUGCUAAAAUUACAGGAAAAACUGAAAAGUUACACAAGAAGAUGCAAAAAUGACGCUAAAAGAUGGAAAAGUGACACUAAAAGACACAAAAAUGACAUGAAAAGACACAAGAAUGACGAAAAAAUGAAAAAAAUGUAACAAAAAAAGAUUCAAUAAUGGUGGUGAAAGACAAAAAAAUUUAACCAAAAGAUGCAAAGAGGCAAAAAAAAAGUACAGUAACUACUGAUGAUGCAGAACUAGUUCCAUUAAAUGUGCAGUUCAGGUGUUUUUUUUGCUCAUUUUUCUUCACUACAGGUUCAUUUUUCUGUGCAAUCUAAAGUCCUGCAGCUCCAUGGACGAGAGAAACUGAUUCCAUAUUUUGCAAAACAUAGUAACAAGUAAAAUUAAAUUAAAUUAAAUUAAAUCAAAUAAGCAAUGGAAUCAAUAAUACUUCUGCAGAUGCUUACAGAUGUUAAAAACACUGUAAAUAAAACAUGGUGUCUCUACAUACUGUUGAUAUUUUACUUGUGUCCUCUGCUCGGUGGAAACACUGCCUCCAGUUCAGCCAAAAACUCUGAAUUUUAGAACCGUAGCUGUUCGUUGGACCUGAGUCAGUCAUGGAGAAUCAGUUACACAAAGGAGUGCAGAUUUUUUUUCCUUUUUCCAGAACCUGUUUCCUUAAAUGCUUUAUUUUUGAAGAAUUUCUAAACAAUAACAUUCCUUCAAACCUACCGGUGGGUUUUGGGGCUCAGAGGUCAGACAAUGUGUGUAAAUGUGAACUUUUAUAACUUCUUUUUGCAGCUUUUACUCUGACUUCUCUUUCUGCUAUUUACAUUUUCUCAUUCUUUUUAUUUUUUGGCAUUUUUUUCUGCCAGUGUUUCAGCUAAAAUAAGGAUCUAAACCAGAACAGACCAGACUAAAACAGCCGAGGAGUUUAUCUGAGGUCUGGAUGGAAGCAGAAACAUGAAAAUCAGGAAGCAGCUGGAAACUUUCUGCAGCCGUAAAGAGGAACAGCAGCUCCAGGUUCACAUCGUGUUCCUCCUGCAAACAACCUCACUGUGUUCUCCUGGAGCAACUUAAUUUAAAAAAAUGUUUGUCAGCUAAACUUGUGUUUAUAAAAAUAGUUAUGAAAUUCCUUAUGUAAAAGUCCAUAAAAAAUGUAGGAAUACUAGUUUGAACAACUUAAUGAGAGAAAACUUCUGAGCAGGGUGUCAGAAAAAUGUAAAAUGUAAAUACUUCAGUGGUUCAAGAAAGAGACGAGUGAGGGAGGCCGCCAAGACACCUAUGACUCCUCUGAAGGAGUUGCAAGAAGACACGUGCAGACUCUGAAGUCACCUGGAAGAAGGUUCUUUGGUCUGAGGAGACCAGGAUGGAGCUUUUUGGAUAUCAGAGUAGAUGAUAUGUUUGAUGGACACCAAACACAUGAUUGAAGCAUGGUGGAGGCAGCAUCAUGAUGUGAAGCACGGUGGUGGCAGCAUCAUGAUGUGAAGCAUGGUGGUGGCAGCAUCAUGAUGUGAAGCAUGGUGGUGGCAGCAUCAUGAUGUGAAGCAUGUGGAGGCAGCAUCAUGAUGUGAAGCACGGUGGUGGCAGCAUCAUGAUGUGAAGCAUGGUGGUGGCAGCAUCAUGAUGUGAAGCAUGUGGAGGCAGCAUCAUGAUGUGAAGCAUGGUGGUGGCAGCAUCAUGAUGUGAAGCAUGGUGGUGGCAGCAUCAUGAUGUGAAGCAUGGUGGUGGCAGCAUCAUGUAUGAAGCAUGGUGGUGGCAGCAUCAUGUAUGAAGCAUGGUGGUGGCAGCAUCAUGAUGUGAAGCACGGUGGUGGCAGCAUCAUGAUGUGAAGCACGGUGGUGGCAGCAUCAUGAUGUGAAGCAUGUGGAGGCAGCAUCAUGAUGUGAAGCAUGGUGGUGGCAGCAUCAUGAUGUGAAGCAUGUGGAGGCAGCAUCAUGAUGUGAAGCAUGUGGAGGCAGCAUCAUGAUGUGAAGCAUGGUGGUGGCAGCAUCAUGAUGUGAAGCAUGGUGGUGGCAGCAUCAUGUAUGAAGCAUGGUGGUGGCAGCAUCAUGUAUGAAGCAUGGUGGUGGCAGCAUCAUGAGGUGAAGCAUGGUGGUGGCAGCAUCAUGAUGUGAAGCAUGGUGGUGGCAUCAUCAUGAUGUCCAAAAGGACUGAAAAUGGUACAAAAUGGCAAAAUAUUUGUCCAAAAUUAUCAAAAACCUGUCCAAAAUGACUGAAAAGUUGUCCAAAAUUACAAAAUAUUUGUAAAAAGUGACAAAAAUCUGUUCAAAAUGACCAAACAUUUGUCCAAAAGGAUUAAAAGAUGUUCCAGAAUGAUUCAAAAUUUGUUCAAAUUAUACAAAGCCUGUCCAAAACUUACAUGGUUUUCUGUCAGAAGUUGUCCAAAAUAUCUUAAACUUAUCCAAAAUGCAACCAACAAUUUAUGAAAUGACAAAAACUCAACUCAAAUCACUCAUUUUUUUUUAUCAAAGUUACCAACGAUCAGUCCAAAAUUUCGCCAAACAUGUCAGAAAUGGUCUAAAAUGAACCAAUUAUUUUUCCAAAAUGCCUGAAACUGAUCUAAAAACCUUUUAUGAAAUGACAAAAACCUCACACAUAUCACUCUUUAUUUUACCAAAAUAUCUAAAAAUUCAAGACCAACCAGCUCCCAACAUGCUGAUAGGAGCCUUAAAGUUCACCAGAAUGAGCUUUUUAAAGUUUUCUCUGAAUAAUCAGAAACAGAAACUCAUCCAGGGAACCAACACUGGUGAUGGUUUGAGUACAUUCAGGAACAUUUCUGGGCAUUUUCAGGAAGUUUUAAGUAUUUUGGAGGUUGUUUUAAGCAUAUUUGUUCAUCAAAUUAUGACUCAUUUUGGUCAAAUUUAGACAUUUUUCUCAACAUUUUGAGUAAGUUUUAGGUAAUUUGAAGGUUUUUGGAGUAAAUGGUUGUAUUUAUAUAGCGCUUCUAUCCAAAGCGCUCUACAUGAUACGUCACAUUCACACACUGAUGGUGGAAGCUGCGAUGCAAGGCGCUAACCACAACCCACCAGCAGCAAUUAGGGGUUUGGUGUCUUGCUCAGGGACACCUCGACAUGAGCUCAACAGGCCGAGGAUCAAACCGACAACCUUCCAGUUACAAGAUGGCCACUCUACCCACUGAGCCAUGCCGCCCCCAGGAGUAAUUUCAAACUAAUUUUAGUGAAGUAUUGUGUAAAUUUAGAAACUUUUAUGGGUAGUUUUGAUAAGUUUUAGGUAUUUUGGAGGCUUUUUAUGUAACUUAAAACAAGUUAUGACUAACUUUGGGAAAGUUUGAAGGUCAUUUGAACAAGUUUGAGGUAUUUUUGGCGCAUUUUGAGCAAUUUUAAAACCAUUUUGGAUGUUUUACGGACGAGUCUGAGACUUUGCACAAUUUUUCUGUGAUUUUGGACAAAGAGGAACAAAAACACACCCAGGAUACCAAUGCUGGCGUUCAAACUAAUAUAUAUCCCAUUUAUGGACUUCCAGUGUUGCAAUAUUCACCUGAUUUCCAACAGCACUGGAGACAGACGACAAUCACCAACUGGAGAAUCGUUUAGCUAACAGAUAAGCUGCUAAAGAAGCUACAGGUAGCAUGUUGUUAUGCCUUGAUAAUUAAUUAACGCCAUCAAAUAACUCACUAAACCUGUUGUAAUUACUUAUAUGACCCUAGAAAAAACUCCAGGAAUCCAGGCAGAAAGUGGUUCUGUCUCAUUUUGAGCAGAAACAUUGAUCUUCAGCAGAGAAACCAGGUCUUCAUGUGAUCCAUCAGCUCGGUCUGCUGCUGCUCUUCUUCACCAUCUGAGGUCACAUUCCAUCCACCAAACCUCCACAAACUGAGCUUUUCUGAAACAAAAGAGGAAUCACUGCAAGGCUUCGUCCUGCUCCGGGACGGUUCCUCAGGAGAUUUCGUCACUCGUAGGGUUUCGUCUGAGCGUCGAGAAAGAGGAAGAACGAGAGAAAGAGGACGGUUUCACAGAGAAGGAACUCUGAGACGCUGGACGGCCUCGGAUAUGAGGAGAAACUCACCCUGAGUGGAGACAAAUGCAAAGGAGGGAAAGAAAAUGAACCAGAUUACAUGAAGGUUAUGUUUACUGAACGUUAGUGGAGUUUAUCAAAGUAUUGUGGACAUUAUAAAACACGCAACAGCACAGAAAACAGCAUAAAACGAUGCAGAAUCAACCUAACAGUAAAGUUUUCAUGAUUUUACUCUUUUUAGAGGUGUAAAAAUGUUGAAAAUAACACAGAGUUUACAUCUUUAGACCAUCAGCCACCAUUGUUUGGUGUCCACAAACAAACAUCCAGCCUGAAAUUCUCACAAACUGAACAAAAUCAAACGUUUUACAGAAUCUGUCCAAUGCAAACAUUUAUUUUGGGGGCAAAUUUCUUAACUGAGACGUAGAAUAAAGCGAUUUUGAUGAAAAAUAUUAAUUUUAAGCUGAGAUUUGAGUACAUUUUUCCAACUAAGAGUCAUUUAAAGACUGAUAGGAAGUUGAAGAUCUGAUGAUUCUUUCUGUUUUUGCACUUUCUGGCUCAGACAAAAGUUAUAAUUUUGGCAUUUUAAAAAACAAAAAUAACAUGCCUCUGAAACCUGCGGUGCAAAGUUUGUCAAAUGAAAUAUGACAAAAGACCCAUAGUCUGGCUUUAAUUUGAUUUAGAAAAUGAAAAUAAGUUUGUUUUAGAUUAACCGGUCAUAUAACCACAGAACUGGAGCAGCAGCUUGGACGUUAACCUGCAAGUUGCUUAUUUUAAAUAUUAUAUUUUCUUUAAUUAAUUGUCAUAUUUUGCAGGAUAAUGUUUUUCUGUACGCAAUGCAAAUGUCUCAUAUGUGAGUUACAUUUAAAACAAGAUUUAGUGGUUGAAAAAUGGGAUAGACAGUUUGAAAUAACUCUUGAAUACAAGCACAUUUUCUGAAUGUUUUCUUACUUUUUAACUAAUCAGAUCAUCUAAAUUGAAAUUUCUGCUUCAUAAAUACGGAAAAGAACAACAUCUCUACUCUUGUGAUUCUGGCUAACUUAGUGGUUGUCGAGCAGCAGUUGGUUUUUCCAGCAGUGAGGCCCAGAGCAGGACAAAGAGAAAAGAAAAAAAGGAAAGGAGAGCGUGAGGAGAAACUCGAGUGUUUUGAAACACUUUCACUUCCCGUAGUGGAAGGUUAUUUUCAUCCUCCUGGUCGAGUUUCUCUAUUGUUUCCCUCCGUUGUUUUAUUCCUACGGGGAAAGUCGUUCAGACGCAAACAUAACGGCCGAGUUUGGACUCAGAUCAACUUCAGAAAAACACAAAACCAUUUAUUUUCCUCUGUGGAUCUAAGAAAAUAUCUGUGUGGGUGAGACGGUAAAAUGCUGUCAGUCAGCGACAAUUAGCUAAAAACUGAAAGUAUGAAGCAGAAAAUACGUGACUGACACAGUUUUCAUGAUGGUGCCUCCACCGUGCUUCAAAUCAAGAAGCAUGGUGGAGGCUUUAGAAAAAGGUUAAAUGGUUGGACAGGCUUUGUAUAAUUUUAGACCAUUUUGGAGUAAUUUUGGACAAAUAUUUGGUCAUUUUGGACACAUUUUUAUCAUUUUGGACCAAUUUCUGGUUCAUUUUGGACAUUUUUUUGGUCAUUUUGGUAAAAUAAUGAGGGAUUUGUGGGACGUUUUUGUCAUUUCAUAAAAAUUGGAUGCAUUUUAAAUAGAUUAAAGAUAUUUUGGACAAUUAUUGGCCAAAUAUUUGCUUUACAAUGUGUGAUUGUAAAAUACCGUUAAAGUAUCGUUUUCAUUAUACAGAUAUUUGUCAUUUUUGUCAGUUUUUUGUUUGUUCUUAAACAGUUGUUGAUAAUUGCAGUUCUCCACGGCAUUUUAACAUAUUUUUUCUAACACCUGAUCUAACACCAGAUCUGUCAUUUUGGACACAGUUUUGAUCAUUUUGUUUGAAUUUAGCGUAAUGCUGAAUAGGUUUAAGGCAUUUUGGAGAAUUAUUGGCUCAUUUUGGACAAUUUCUAACAUGUUUUGUAUAAUUUUGGACAGAUUUUCUGUCAUUUUGGACCAUUUUGGUUCAUUUUGGACAAAUGUUUGGUCAUUUUGGUUGAAUUUUGAGUAAUACUGAAAAGGUUUAAGGCAUUUUCAACAAUCAUUGGCUCAUUGUGGACAUUUUCUAACAUGUUUUGCAUUAUUUUGAACAAUUAUUUUGGUCAUUUUUACCGAUUUUUGGUCAUUUUGGUAAAAUAAUGAAUGAUUUGGGGGAAAUUUUGCCAUAGUUGUUAGCGUUUUGUUUGUUUUUAAACAGUUUUUCCUAAUUGGUUUUUCCCAGUAGGACUCCACAGUGUUUUAGUAGAUUUGUCAUUUUGGACAGAUUUUCUGUAAGUUUCUUGCAGUUUAAAACAAAUGAAUUUUUAAUUUUUACCCAUAUUGAACACCAGAAUCAUCUUUUAGCUUCCAUUCAUUCUGUGCCAAAACAAUCUUCUAAUAUUUUGACCCUUGCAAAAUGUAAAAUGGAGUUUUUCUUUGCUCAAGGGAAUUAAAAGCAUGAUAAUUCUGACUAAUAGACCAUUUUAA
This is a long non-coding RNA of Acanthochromis polyacanthus (spiny chromis), 11027 nucleotides long. RefSeq lists it as uncharacterized. Lineage: Eukaryota; Metazoa; Chordata; Actinopteri; Pomacentridae. The transcript has 2 exons. The record is from RefSeq and is a predicted model, not a curated record.